Molecule: long non-coding RNA, 1009 nt
Organism: Pecten maximus
Lineage: Eukaryota; Metazoa; Mollusca; Bivalvia; Pectinida; Pectinidae
Exons: 2
Source: RefSeq, a predicted model, not a curated record
UGAUGAGGGCGUGUGUGUGUUGAUGUGUGUGUGUUUGAAAGUGCAAAAGUCUGUAUAUUGCUGUGACUGCGAAUGUGCGUGUAAAAGAAAAAAAUAUGUUACACAUAUGUCAUUGGUUAUGAAUUGUACCGAUGAUGUGAAUAUAGUUGCUGCUGCUCCUGCUGCUGAUGAUCGAUAUAAGACCACGUGAUUAUGAACCGUGGGCACAGAACUAUAUAAAGGGGGCGCACACUAUCUGCCAUAACUAUUCCUUUGAUCAGUCUCAGCUUCGGGUGAUUUCUUUGUCUCAACGACAAAUUUUUCCGGUACAUUGAUACAGUACGUACUGUAACACUUGAUAACCAGAAAAAAACUAAAUAAAUAAACUUUUUUCUCAAUUUGACGACUUUGCAUCGGGCUGUCAACUUGGGCCUCAGUUUUUGAUUCCAACACGGUGCUGGAUGAUAUAUCGUUUUGAUGAAAACAUGGAAAAAUUAAACCUUAUUACAGACAAAAAUAUUGGAAAACGGCGUUUACCUAACACCAGCAAAAUGAAUUUCAGCUACAGCUUAAAUUCGGAAGGAUUACGAAUUCUAUGGCCGUUGCCACCUGGAUAAUAAUGGAACAGUGAAGAAUGCCUCGAACAAAAAGUGAAAUACCAUGGCGGAAACGUACAUCAACACUAGAAAUUGUAAAAGGAACUUCUUUGUAUUAUCGCGUGAUUCACUCAAAGACCUGCGAACCAGCUACAUUCGACACUCAUGGAUAUAGAAUUCUCAACGAACAGUUAGUAAUUAAUAGUUAGCGAUAAUUAUCAUCUUUGCUGUGUAUAUUGACGUUACUAUUGCUUUGUAUUUCUUAUCAGAUCCACUUGUGUCUGAUCCUUGUUGUAAAUAGUCUGGUAUAUGGUUAAACUAAACUAUGAUAAUAGCUUAUUUUCGGACUUUUGGUUCAAUAUAAUAGUUAAAUAAGAUAAUAUAGAUAUGUUUUUGUCAUCUUAUCUUUAUGAAUAAAAUUCCUUUUAGGUACA